This 414-nucleotide ribosomal RNA is filed under the name uncultured microorganism. Its description in RNAcentral is "bacterial SSU rRNA". It matches the Rfam family "Archaeal small subunit ribosomal RNA", at positions 459 to 872 of the family's 1478-position model. The record is from RNAcentral.
CAGCCGCCGCGGUAAUACCGGCGGCCCGAGUGGCGGUCACUCUUAUUGGGCUUAAAGCGUCCGUAGCCGGGUUGGGAAGUCCUCCGGGAAAUCUGGCCGCUUAACGGUCAGAAUGCCGGAGGAUACUCCCAGCCUAGGGAGCGGGAGAGGCCGAGGGUAUUCCCGGAGUAGGGGUGAAAUCCUAUAAUCCCGGGAGGACCACCUGUGGCGAAGGCGCUCGGCUGGAACGCGUCCGACGGUGAGGGACGAAGGCCAGGGGAGCAAACCGGAUUAGAUACCCGGGUAGUCCUGGCGGUAAACGAUGCGGACUUUGUGUCGGACAAGCUAUGAGCUUGUCCGGUGCCGGAGGGAAACCGUUAAGUCCGCCGCCUGGGGAGUACGGCCGCAAGGCUGAAACUUAAAGGAAUUGGCGGG